UAGUACUGGGGCCAAGGAUAAAGCUGG
RNAcentral lists this non-coding RNA (27 nucleotides) under Rattus norvegicus (Norway rat). Lineage: Eukaryota; Metazoa; Chordata; Mammalia; Rodentia; Muridae. The record is from RNAcentral.